GAUGAACGCUGGCGGCGUGCCUAAUACAUGCAAGUCGAGCGAACAGACGAGGAGCUUGCUCCUCUGACGUUAGCGGCGGACGGGUGAGUAACACGUGGAUAACCUACCUAUAAGACUGGGAUAACUUCGGGAAACCGGAGCUAAUACCGGAUAACAUGUUGAACCGCAUGGUUCAACAGUGAAAGACGGUCUUGCUGUCACUUAUAGAUGGAUCCGCGCCGCAUUAGCUAGUUGGUAAGGUAACGGCUUACCAAGGCAACGAUGCGUAGCCGACCUGAGAGGGGGGACGGGCCACAGGGAAAGGGGGACAGGGCCCAGAGUCCACGGGGAGGAGGAAGAGGGGAUUCUACCGCAAGGGGGGAAGGUCGAAGGAGCAAGCCCGGGGGGAGGAAAAAAGGUUUAGGGAUGUAAAAACUUUUUUAUAGGGAAAAAAAAAAUGGGAAAGAACCUGUGCACGUCUGAAGGGACCCUAAUAGGAAGACCAGGACUAACUCGGUC
RNAcentral lists this ribosomal RNA (498 nucleotides) under uncultured bacterium. RNAcentral describes it as "partial 16S ribosomal RNA". It matches the Rfam family "Bacterial small subunit ribosomal RNA", at positions 28 to 507 of the family's 1533-position model. The record is from RNAcentral.